UGCAAGUCGAACGGUAACAGGUCUUCGGAUGCUGACGAGUGGCGAACGGGUGAGUAAUACAUCGGAACGUGCCUAGUAGUGGGGGAUAACUACUCGAAAGAGUAGCUAAUACCGCAUGAGAUCUACGGAUGAAAGCAGGGGACCUUCGGGCCUUGUGCUACUAGAGCGGCUGAUGGCAGAUUAGGUAGUUGGUGGGGUAAAGGCUUACCAAGCCUGCGAUCUGUAGCUGGUCUGAGAGGACGACCAGCCACACUGGGACUGAGACACGGCCCAGACUCCUACGGGAGGCAGCAGUGGGGAAUUUUGGACAAUGGGCGAAAGCCUGAUCCAGCAAUGCCGCGUGCAGGAUGAAGGCCCUCGGGUUGUAAACUGCUUUUGUACGGAACGAAAAGCCUGGGGCUAAUAUCCCCGGGUCAUGACGGUACCGUAAGAAUAAGCACCGGCUAACUACGUGCCAGC
Molecule: ribosomal RNA, 459 nt
Filed under: bacterium YMWR
Lineage: Bacteria
Description: bacterial SSU rRNA
Rfam family: Bacterial small subunit ribosomal RNA
Source: RNAcentral